This 292-nucleotide ribosomal RNA is filed under the name uncultured microorganism. RNAcentral describes it as "partial 16S ribosomal RNA". It matches the Rfam family "Bacterial small subunit ribosomal RNA", at positions 505 to 796 of the family's 1533-position model. The record is from RNAcentral.
GUGCCAGCAGCCGCGGUAAUACGUAGGGUGCAAGCGUUAAUCGGAAUUACUGGGCGUAAAGCGUGCGCAGGCGGUUAUGUAAGACAGAUGUGAAAUCCCCGGGCUCAACCUGGGAACUGCAUUUGUGACUGCAUAGCUAGAGUACGGUAGAGGGGGAUGGAAUUCCGCGUGUAGCAGUGAAAUGCGUAGAUAUGCGGAGGAACACCGAUGGCGAAGGCAAUCCCCUGGACCUGUACUGACGCUCAUGCACGAAAGCGUGGGGAGCAAACAGGAUUAGAUACCCUGGUAGUCC